Molecule: long non-coding RNA, 332 nt
Filed under: Physcomitrium patens
Lineage: Eukaryota; Viridiplantae; Streptophyta; Bryopsida; Funariales; Funariaceae
Description: long non-coding RNA (PPAT_LNC011287)
Source: RNAcentral
AAAAACCCUCACUAGAUCUAAAAUUCUACUUUCUGAUACCAUGACCCAUUUAAACCUCAAUAACCUUCAAUUCAACUAUUAGAUCGAGCUCAAAUUCACAACACAUAUUAAAUUCAACUAUAAACAUUAAUCCAAAAAAUUUUACUCAUAGAUCUAUUACAAAACUCUUGAAAUCAUCCAAAAUAUAAACCUUCUUUUAUUUCAUAAAUCCAAGUCAUCCAAAAACAAACCUUGACUUUGCAAAGCUCUUACAAAGUCAUAACAACUCCCAAUCAUCCAAAACCAAUGCUCUUAGAAAUCCUUUCCAAUCUGAUAUCAAACCCCACUCUCCG